RNAcentral lists this ribosomal RNA (164 nucleotides) under Daucus incognitus. RNAcentral describes it as "5.8S ribosomal RNA". It matches the Rfam family "5.8S ribosomal RNA". Rfam says of the family: 5.8S ribosomal RNA (5.8S rRNA) is a component of the large subunit of the eukaryotic ribosome. It is transcribed by RNA polymerase I as part of the 45S precursor that also contains 18S and 28S rRNA. Lineage: Eukaryota; Viridiplantae; Streptophyta; Magnoliopsida; Apiales; Apiaceae. The record is from RNAcentral.
CAAAAUGACUCUCGGCAACGGAUAUCCCGGCUCUCGCAUCGAUGAAGAACGUAGCGAAAUGCGAUACUUGGUGUGAAUUGCAGAAUCCCGUGAACCAUCGAGUCUUUGAACGCAAGUUGCGCCCGAAGCUGUUAGGCUUAGGGCACGUCUGCCUGGGUGUCACG